Molecule: ribosomal RNA, 378 nt
Filed under: uncultured bacterium
Lineage: Bacteria
Description: bacterial SSU rRNA
Rfam family: Bacterial small subunit ribosomal RNA
Source: RNAcentral
UAAGACAGAGGUGCCGAGCGUUAGGCGGAAUCACUGGGCUUAAAGCGUGUGUAGGCGGGCCGUUAAGUACCUUGUGAAAUCCCCCGGCUCAACCGGGGAACGGCUGGGUAUACUGGCGGCCUUGAGAGGCCUAGGGGCGAGCGGAACAAGCGGUGGAGCGGUGAAAUGCGUAGAUAUCGCUUGGAACGCCGACGGUGAAAACAGCUCGCUGGGGGCCAUCUGACGCUGAGACACGAAAGCCAGGGGAGCGAACGGGAUUAGAUACCCCGGUAGUCCUGGCCCUAAACGAUGUCCACUAGAUCGCCGGGCCUUUGACGGGCCUGGCGGUCGAAGCAAAAGUGCUAAGUGGACCGCCUGGGAAGUACGGUCGCAAGGCUA